AAUUAUUUCCUUAAUACUAAAACGACUUAUAUUAAGUUACGGAGGCCGGAGGGAGUAUCUCUUUUGUGGAAUAUUCUUUUUAUUUGAUCAUUCCCAAAGUGUAAAGAAAGGGAAGAAAAUGAAAGUUUGGCUUUAAUUAGGUGAUCUCCUGCUGAGAUCAUUAUUAGUAAUUAUUGUCGCCGGCGUAUUUCCGAUGGUGUGCUUAAAACAUGCUUAUUGGGUCUGCAAAACCUUUGGUUAUAAGAAAGGCCGGUUUGUUCGUCUGUAUGUAUAAAGAAAAAUUAAGAUGAUAUAAACAGAGUUUUUUUAAUUUAUAUUUAUGAUUAACAAGUAUAAGAGAGACCUCCUAGCUAGAUAUAUUUGGUUUUGCUGUGAUUGGAGACUAAUUAAUCUUCAUUCUGCUCACAAUUUUUCUUCAACUUAUUUCAUCUGUUGAUGCUUAUUAUAUCAUGUAAUUUGUUAAUACUCCCUCCUAUUCAGAUUAAAUAUUAUUUUAGAGUUAAG
Molecule: long non-coding RNA, 504 nt
Filed under: Panax ginseng (ginseng)
Lineage: Eukaryota; Viridiplantae; Streptophyta; Magnoliopsida; Apiales; Araliaceae
Description: long non-coding RNA (PGIN_LNC019266)
Source: RNAcentral